Molecule: long non-coding RNA, 1079 nt
Filed under: Triticum aestivum (bread wheat)
Lineage: Eukaryota; Viridiplantae; Streptophyta; Magnoliopsida; Poales; Poaceae
Description: long non-coding RNA (TAES_LNC027012)
Source: RNAcentral
CCGUGUAUUCCUAUUCCCCUGCAGCUCGCCGUGUGCAAGUUCUUCAGUCCAAGUUCUCUGUCGAGCUUGUCUCUUGUUUCAUUUUCCUUAACACUCGGUAAGGAAAAUGAUCGUUCAACUUGAAUUAUGUUUUGGACUGAUUGUUCAAGUUCUUUCGUAUAGAAGGUUCAGAAAGUUUUGUUCCUGAAAAUGCACUUAUUUGGAGUAUGCCAAUAUAUGUGUAUUUCUGAAUUUCGCUCUUGAGUAACAGUUCAACAUGUAUUACGCCAUCAAUUCAUAAUGGAAAGGUAGCAAACAGUUCAACACUUGUGUGUUAAAAACGUAACAGUAUAGAGAAACUUUCGUAGUGGUUCGAUGGAAUAAAUCGCAUCAGUUCUGACUUGAAUCCGUUCUUGCCUAUAAUGCAUUGAAAAAUCAAUUGUUUUUGCCUUCGUUAAGGCUUGAGAAGCAUGUAUCUCAUUUAUAAUAUGCUUUGGCAUUUGGUCGAUGAUAUUUAUUGCAUCCUUCAUCACUGAUCGUGAGGAGAUUCAUUUGUGCAUUUCUAUAUUCGUUGUGUAAAUUUGUUGAUUUUUAAUGUUUUAGGGAUUUCGGGAGAGUGGAGACCUAGGAGAGCACUUUCAAGGGUUAUUGGCCAUGACAAUAAAUGAUCAAGAAGAGCACUUUCAAUAGUCCAGGAAGACAACAACAACAACAACAACAACGAGAAAAAUGCAACGAUGCAUCAUGCUGACAUUGAUGAAAAGCUAUGAUUUUGUGCUCUUGUUUGUUAUUAUGUCAAUGAGAAACCAAGACUUCUUUUCUUCAGGUUUUGUGUUUUAAUUGGUGAGGGAUAAACAAAUUUUCCUAUUCAAGUGGAAGCUCCCAAUAUAUGAUGGAUGUGGGAGUUAUUUUUACAUUCACUAUUCGGUGCUUCUCUUUAUGUAAUGUUUUAUGUUUACAAGUGCUCGAUGAAAAUUUAUGUUCCUAGUAGUUCAUGUAUUAUUGCCUGAGGAGUUCAUGUGUUACUGGCCAGUAAGUAAACCUAUUAAUCACUCUCUCAAGUGUGAUGAAAAAAAUGGGCAGUAAAUUGAUGAAAAAAU